GCCGACCCUCAGUAGGAG
RNAcentral lists this small nuclear RNA (18 nucleotides) under Arabidopsis thaliana (thale cress). RNAcentral describes it as "snRNA_10504". The record is from RNAcentral. Lineage: Eukaryota; Viridiplantae; Streptophyta; Magnoliopsida; Brassicales; Brassicaceae.